RNAcentral lists this long non-coding RNA (5222 nucleotides) under Canis lupus familiaris (dog). Its description in RNAcentral is "lncRNA (ENSCAFG00845026516.1)". Lineage: Eukaryota; Metazoa; Chordata; Mammalia; Carnivora; Canidae. The record is from RNAcentral.
AAGCCCAGAGCCCAACAUGGUGCUCUAUCCCACAGCCCCGAGAUCACAACCUGAGCCAAAAUCAAGAGUCAGACACCUAAGCGACUGAGCCACCCAGGUACCCCAGAAGCCACUGAUAUUUGUAAAUAGCAUUAUCCUACCUGAACAACAAGAGGUCUUUAGUUUUAUCAACUUGGAAAUGAUCUUUGUGCCAUUGGAAGAUUUAAGUAGGAAAUAAAUGAAAUGGGGUAGAAGCAUAGAGCUGAGAAGGAACCAGAGAGACUGGAUUUGGUUAUAACAGGGGCAAAGAAAGAAUGAAUGGGCACAAAGUUCUGUAGAAACAGGAUUUAGAGUUUAUCAAGAAAAGGAAUGCUCAAGAAAAAGCAUGAAGAAGACAUGAGGGCUAAAGAGCUUAGAGACUCAAAGACCUCAGUUUAGCAAACAUGUGACAGCAUAAUACAAAAUUAUUGUCAUAAGGUAAGUGAAACUGAAAAACAGAAGGUAAGAGAAAAAGAAGGACAUUCUAAUAUAGAAAAUAUUUGUCCAGCAGCAUUUUUCCACCAGAUUCCCAGGAGAGAAUAUGGGAAAUUUUAGCAAAGGAAAGCAGGCUUGCCAGAAAGAAAGGACUAUAGCCACUCAGGGGGCUAGCCCAUCACUCCGUCACCCAGUGUGUUCAGUGGUGACCUGUUCACUCGGGCUGACCCUGGUUGUGAUGGCCCAGCACGCCGCAGCAUCCAUCCUAGCCUUGCCAUGGCCGCCAGUCCUCCUGUCCCCUCCCCCACUCCAUGAGCAGUGCAUCCUGAACUGGCAGCUUGAUGAUCCCAUGGCAAUUCUUCCAUACGCCCUGCCGAGGGGCAUUUCUCACUCCUGACUCUCCAUCUCCACUUCUUUGCCUCCUUCUUGGGUUUCCAUGGGGUUCUAUACAUAGAACUUAUGUGUAUAGAAAUUCUGUGUAUAAGUUCAUGUCAUCUGUGAGUCCUGUAGUCCCUCAGCCCUGUAGCUCAGUGCUUCUCAAAAUUUAGCUGACGUAAAAAUUACUGGAUUCUUCGUGGGCUCCUCUUCCAGAAGUUAUGAUUCAACAGGUUGGGGGUGUAUGUGUCAGAAUUUGCAUUUCUGAUAAGCUCCUCAUCGGUGCUGAUUUUGCUGGCCCAAGCAGCAUGCUUUGAGGAGAACUGCCAUGGAGGACUCCCUCUAUCGCCUGUGCUAAAUCUACCUCCUUUCCUCCCUGGUGGCCACUGGCCCAGCCCAGGCCUCCAGCACAGUGGUGCUAGCUGGGCCACUAGCCCUUCUCCUCUCUCAGGAAAACAAUGUCAGCCAUGUAUGCAAGACAGGGAGCUGACUGCUGCUAUGGGAAUGACCUUAAUUCAAUUUAAUCCAUAUUUAUGAAGCACAUCAUUCACAGCCUUCGGUUAUUUCAGUAAUAAUUAUAUACUGCCUUAAUUAUUAGUGAUAACAAGUUUUCUUCCCUACACUGCAGUGGGUCAAGCCAUCUUUGCCAAGAACCAUCUGGGACCUCUUUGCUCUGCAUUCCUCCCAUUUUCCUCCAAAUACCUCAAAAAAUCUUAACAAAAAGCCAGUAUCUUUAUAUAUUUCCAGUGAUCCUCAACCUAAUUGCCCAUUAAAAUCACCAGGGAGCUUUUUAACAUACUGGUUCUCAGGCCCCAAUUAAUUUAGAUUCUGAAAGUACUUUUUAGAUCUUCCCAGAUGGUCUGAUGUGCAGCCAAAGUUAGGAACCCCUGCUUUACGCCUUUGUUCCUGAAGCAUCCUUCCCCUUCCCUUCCUUUUUUCACGUAUUAGAAUCCUACUUGUUCUUCAACCUCAUAUUCAAAUAUCACCUCCUCCAUGAAGGCUUUUCCAAGAAUCUUUCCUCCCUGGUCAAUACAGAUUCCUCCCCGCUGUGCUCCUAGAGCACUGAUUUAGCAUUUUACAUGUUAAUUUUCUGUUUCCCCAGAAAGAUUGUGAAUUCCCUCAUACAAGCUGUCUCAUAUAUCUUUUUUUAAUCCCUAAGUCUUAACAAAUUCUAUUUGUUGAAUUAAAUUUAACUGUUCAGGAAGUGGAACAGAAGUACUAUUAACUUCCUCCUCAAAAACAUUUAGGGUAACAGAUUCUUAAUUAGUUAGUGGAUCAUAGCUGGUUUCAAAAAUAAAGCAUUCCAUGAUGUUAGUACACUCUCCUAUUUCAGAAUAAGCCUCAAAGCCUCAAGGCAAAAGGACACCUCCUUUCUUCUCUUGGUGAAGGGCAAGAGGACAUUUACCCAUAGUCUCUUGUUACACAAAGUGUGGUCAAUGAACCAGCAGCAGCAGCUGCAUUGCCUGGGUAUUGAGUCAGAAAUGUAAAAUCUCAAUCCCCACCCUAGAUCUACCAAAUCAAAAUCUGAUUUUAACCAGCUCUUCUGCUGUUCUCAUGCACAUCAAAGUUUGAGGAACACUGCCAUCCACUUUCUCUUCCAACUUUUACAAUUUCUGCUUUACUCCACAAAACUGCUUUCACUAUCUAGAGAUUUCCCAAUAGAAUCUAUGAAUCAUUAUUCUAUAAAAGAGGAAUCAUUCAUCUUCUCUGGUGAUUCUAAACUCCAACAACAUUUCAGAGUCACCUGGGGUGCUUUAAAAGGUAUUGAUACCUGGGCCCCCAACCCCAGAAAUUCUGAUUCAGUUGGUCAAGGAGAUCUGGGCUUUGGUAUUUUUAAAAUCACCCAUCUACUCUGUGUUUCCUAUCUUCAAGAAGCAAGAAUUCUCAAGCCAGCCAACCAUUUACUUUGCUCUUUAGUUUUCCUUGAUGUCUGCCCCAAUGUCUGAUAAUCCCUUGGUCAGUUAUUGGAGGACACAUCCAUAGAAGAUUUUUAUCCCAUUGAGCUCACCAAGAGGCACUCCUAAGAUGAUCACUUUAUUAAUGAUCAAAGGAAAGACUCGUUUGGGUAUCCCACCAAAUUCCACCCAGUAUGAAUCUGGCAACGGUAGUACUUUGACCUUUCCUUUUUUAAAGAUUUUAUUUAUUUAUUAGAGAGAGAGAGAGAGAGAGAGACUCCCCUACUGAGCAAGGAGCCGAACGUGAGGCUCGAUUCCAGGACCCUGGGCUCAUGACCUGAGCUGAAGGCAGACACUUAACUGACCGAGCCACCCAGGUACCCCUACUUUGAUCUUUCUAAAAUAUAUUUUUACUGAGUAGAAUUGCUUUUACCACUUCCUCCUCAAUCUUGUUUUGUAUUUUCUUUUCCUAAAACAUGGGUCAAAGGUGGGAUUAGGAAUAAAGUCUUAUAGCAAACCAUGAGAAGUUACACAGAAUGGUCAGUUUUAAAUAUUGGUAACCAAAGGAAAGUGCUGGCUGAGAAGUCUUUCAUUUUACCCUUGCUUUCAUCUUCAUAAUAUUUCCUAUCCCUCUCUUUGGCUUCCCUAAAGAAAUGAACACCUAGGAGGCUACCUCUGUUUGGGAUGAGUAAGUGGAGCAUUUUCUGAAAUGCUGACAUGAUAAAGGCCGUUAGCAAGAGGUUUCACACAACUCUCAGCAAAUCAGAGGGAACUCGCAAGAAUUCCUUAAGCCUCAUGAAGAUUAAUGCUCUAUUAUGUUCUGUGAACCUGGGGCAAGAAUUGGAGCUAAAUUUGUAGACAGCUUUGGCAGAUUUAUGUCUACCCCUGAGAUGAAUAACAUACAUGAUAUUUUAGAAGUGAAUUCUAUGUAAAGUCCAUCACAAAGCACAUGAAAUCACUUCAUAAUAGACUGCAACACAGUUAAAUCUCCUUUAGGCAUUGGGAAGCUCCUUUAAUUAUUUCUUAGGUUCAGCCCAGGGUCCUGGAAUUAAAGGCUGAAUCCCAGGCUGAACUUUGAGUUUGUUCACUCAUGCAGGUUGGUUAAACCUUUGCAUGUUUUUUAUGACACUUUUUUCUGUCCUAUUUUCUUUUUUUUUUUUAAGUGAGAUAUAAUUGAUAGACUCCUCCACUUUCUUAGAUGAGCCAAAUACCAUAAAGAACCAAGAAAUGAAAAUGCCAUUGGGAAGCAAACGUGAAUUGUUUUUAUUCUGUUUUGUAUUAUGAGCUGUGUUCCAACUGUAUUAUCUCUAAAUUUAAGAAAAUAAAUAAAUAAAUAAAUAAAUAAAUAAAUUUAAGAACCAUAACUGCAGAGGUCCAUCUUAUAACACUUAAUAUAAAAUCCAAAGAAUAUCCAUCUCAUCAGAACAAAUAAAAAAUCAAAAUUACUCACUCGACAUAUGUAUUCCUGUCAGAUUUUGUGGGUUUAUUCUGAGCAAGUAAAUUUGAAGCCAUAGUUUUUACUACAUCAUUUUUAAGUUGAUGUCAGAAAAGAAAAAUAUUGUGAUUUGCUAUUAAAUUAUAGAUGAAAUCAUAGUAGUUCAGCUCCAAGUUAGAAUGAUACCCUCCCUUAUAAGCUAUGUUUUCUUCUAAAAUUGCUAAUGGAGCUUUUCCCUCCGCAUUCUAAAGUCCCUUAUCAAUUCAAAAAUAUCCUCCCUGACAUGGCCUUUUAUACUCCAAUCCAGCUCUCAGAAAAGCACUUCCCCAAGGUGAUAGGCUCUCUUUGAAAGUGUGGCAUCCUGUCUUCUUGACCAAGUUGGUUAGCUUGUCAACUGUUAACCAGUGAGCCUUUCUCUCACAUCUGGCUUAGUCCCAGUGUGGGUCUGGUGUAGCAUACUGACUUAUUUAUUUUGAGACAACUAUACAUGGAUAUGAGUUCUCCAUUGAUUUCCAUAGCAACUCCACUGGGUUAUCUCAAAAAUGUGUCCCAAAAAUGUCUCCCUUUCCAAACAUUUCAUUUUCUUACCCCCCAUCCCUACCUCUCCCCAACUUGGUCUCAUUCUUUAUAAACAGAAGUGAGGAGAACAUUCAAAGUCAGGACUUCAUGUGAACUUUGCCCAUUCAAAAUCACAUGGAAGUUCUGAUAAUUAAACACAAUCCAUUUCCCAGGGGCUCUUCACUUAGCUAAAUCCUAGCUAAAAUCCAGUGAACUACCUGCCAGAGGUUAAUCCAGGUAGAAAAAUGAACUAUAGUCCAAUAGUUUUAGAAAACACAGUGUUAAGAAAUCUGUGAAUUCCUAGGGCACCUGGGUGGCUCAGUGGAUUUAAGCAUCCAACUCUUGAUUUCAGCUCAGGUCAUGAUCUCAGGGUUGCGAGAUCGAGCCCCGCAUCGGGCUCCAUCAGGCUGCUUAAGAUUCUCUCUCUCUCUCUCUCUCUCUCUCUCUCUCCCUAUGCCCCUCCGCCAUAGCUUGCAUGCUCGCACAUGCACAUGAGCUCUCUCUCA